CCUACGGGAGGCAGCAGUGGGGAAUAUUGGACAAUGGGGGCAACCCUGAUCCAGCAAUGCCGCGUGUGUGAUGAAGGCCUUAGGGUUGUAAAGCACUUUCACUGGUGAAGAUGAUGACGGUAACCGGAGAAGAAGCCCCGGCUAACUUCGAGCCAGCAGCCGCGGUAAUACGAAGGGGGCGAGCGUUGUUCGGAAUUACUGGGCGUAAAGGGCGCGUAGGCGGUCUUUUAAGUUAGGCGUGAAAGCCCCGGGCUCAACCCGGGAACUGCGCUUAAGACUGGAAGACUAGAAAACGGAAGAGGGUAGUGGAAUUCCCAGUGUAGAGGUGAAAUUCGUAGAUAUUUGGAGGAACACCAGUGGCGAAGGCGGCUCACUGGCUCGAUACUGACGCUGAGGUGCGAAAGUGUGGGGAGCAAACAGGAUUAGAUACCCUGGUAGUCCACACCGUAAACGAUGAAUGCCAGUCGUCGGGCAGUAUACUGUUCGGUGACACACCUAACGGAUUAAGCAUUCCGCCUGGGGAGUACGGUCGCAAGAUUAAAACUCAAAGGAAUUGACG
RNAcentral lists this ribosomal RNA (559 nucleotides) under uncultured bacterium. RNAcentral describes it as "bacterial SSU rRNA". It matches the Rfam family "Bacterial small subunit ribosomal RNA", at positions 338 to 915 of the family's 1533-position model. The record is from RNAcentral.